RNAcentral lists this ribosomal RNA (655 nucleotides) under Acarospora sp. EH-2022h. Its description in RNAcentral is "SSU rRNA". It matches the Rfam family "Bacterial small subunit ribosomal RNA", at positions 374 to 1117 of the family's 1533-position model. Lineage: Eukaryota; Fungi; Ascomycota; Lecanoromycetes; Acarosporales; Acarosporaceae. The record is from RNAcentral.
AGCGAAAGCUAGUUGUAUUAUUAGUUAAUGCAAGAUCGACUACGUCGACUAAAGUUCUAGGUAGAAUAAUGAUGAUGACAAUUUUUUACCUAUAUGUCUUGACCAAGUCUCGUGCCAGCAGUCGCGGUAAUACGUGGAAGACUAGUGUUAUUCAUCUUUAUUAGGUUUAAAGGGUACCUAGACGGUAUUUCUAGCCCAAAAUAGGGUACGGAUUUACUAGAGUUUUAUGUGAGGAGGGGAGUACUCGUGGAGUAGAGAUGAAAUUUUGUUAUACUAUGAGGUAACUGGUGGCGGCGAAAGCAACCUUCUAUGUAUAAACUGACGUUGAGGGACGAAGGCUUGGGUAGCAAAUAGGAUUAGAUACCCUAGUAGUCCAAGCAGACAAUUCUGAAUGCCAUAGAUUAGAUUAUUUUUGGUCUAUAAAUGAAAGUGUAAGCAUUCCACCUUAGGAGUAAUGUGGCAACACAGGAACUGAAAUCAUUAGACCGUUUCUGAAACCAGUAGUGAAGUAUGUUAUUUAAUUUGAUGGUCCACAAAAAACCUUACCACAACUUGAAUAUUUUUUAAUUAAUACAAGCGUUGCACGGCUGUCUUCAGUUAAUGUCGUGAGAUUUUGGUUAACUCCAUUAAUUAACGUAAACCCUUACUUUAUUUC